CUGUGCUCACACAGCUCCGCGAGACGGCCGCCCAAACAAAGCUACCUCCGUGGGCCUUGGCCGGCUGACAAGAGGAAGAGAAGGAGAUUACUCUAAGCUCCAGGUAUUCUGGUGAGCUGGAAGCUGGCCGGGAGGGCCAGGCGCCAGUGACACCUCCAGCCAGCAGGCCCAUGUGGAGGCCCCAUCCCGAGAGCGUGCCCGGGGCGAGGCGUGUCCGGCCACCACCGACCACCAGCCGCCCAGGAGGCAGAGGUGACCGGAGAGGGGGCUGCUCGGUUCAGGGAGGAGCCCAGCCCCCAACGCAGGGCACGGAUGGAAUCUCUCAAGGUUCCCUGGGCAUCCUGCCCACCCAAGCUGACUGCUAAGGUCAUCGAUACGGAGCAGGAGCCCAGGCCUAGAGUGUCCAGGCCAAGUGACCACCAUGAGUGCCUGAGAGGCCGGACGUGCAGGCUGGCUCCUGGCUUCUCACCUGAGCCUCCCCAGCCCCUUGCCUCCACGUCUGAGAAUGCCCGGCGCCCCAGCAUGGCCUUGGGGAGGCGGCGGUGCUGAGUGCAUGGGGCCGAGAGGAUGGCUCUGGGCCAGUCGGGUGCUGGGACAGUGGCUGGCAGGGGACCCAUUUGGAGAAGAGCCCACUGCUCUGAGCAGCUCCAGCUGCAGCUCCCACCGCCCUCUUGUGAGGGCCUGCCUGGGCCCGUGUCCAAAUCCCAGCACCACAGGCCACAUGGCCGGCAGGUCUCACGGGGUGAGCACAGCAGAGGCCGCUUUUACACAGGGACCCCUGGGGCCCCCUCCAAGGGCUGCUGCCUGAGAGGGAGCGUGGCCCACGGAGACCCCCUGGACUUGGCCUCUGGGGCCCACCUGGUGGUUUCUGAGGGUGCUGCCAGGCCAGAAGCUCAAAUCCUGCUGGCUGCGCUGUCCUGAGGCCACAGCCAACACCCACUCCUGCCUCCAGCCCGCUGUCCCUUCCCACUGUUAGCGGGGCCUGGGGGAUGAAGGAAGACCACCACAGUGCGGUGGGAGAGAGAAAGCCCUCGGCUUCAUCCUGGGUGUGUUGUGGAGAUGCAGACGGGUCCGAGGUCAGACGAGGGUACUGGACUUGCCGAGGUGUCCACACUCAAAGGGAGCGUCUGGAGCGGGGGGCGGCGUGAGGAGUUCAGGGGCUUCCCGGGAGCAGUUCCAGCUGACAGAGCUCCAUGGAAAUCAGACAUGACCUUGGGGACCGCCGACCUGUGGGGUGUGCACCAGAACCCCACACUGUGGGAGCCCAGCCUUCCUCUCACUGGGUGGCAGUGGCUGGGCUCACACAGACCACAGCAGUGUCCAGCUCCCCUGUCAAGGAGAGACUCCUCCUCAGGGUGGGCUGCGGGACCAGCGCCAGCGGUGAUGGGGUCCAUCCUCACCGUCUCCUGAAGGGCCCGGCCUGGCCUGAGACUUCGAUCUCGGUGAUGACAGCCACCAGCUGGAUGAACUGGCCCCGCGUCCUUCCUACUCCUCAUCUCCCUUCUCUUGCUGGGACUUCACGAGAGAGCCCGAGUUACUGAGUCAACAGGAAGUAGAAGAGACUCCCACGCAGCUCAGGCCCCCGUGGCAGGACCAGGAAGGAGGGAGAGGUGGCGCGUUGCCUGGGUGCUCAUGGACACCAGGUCUGCUCCCCAUGCACUUGUCGUCUGUGCCACGCUGCAGGGGCCAGGCAGCCACAGGCAUCGUUUGGGCCCCGAGCUGGCCAGGCUGGAGUCAGGGCCCACUAAGCCGCAGGUGCCUCUUGCUUGGGGGUGGGGGCUGAAGGGUGUCUUCCUGCCGUGGAGCUAUAGCUGGUGCCUGGUUCCCUCUGUCCAGACACAGCUCUGGGCUUGCAGCCUCUGCCUCCCUGAUGGGACAGCAACCCUGGGCAUCGCUAGAGGCUCUGAGGUCUGCACGGGGCACCAUCCCGUAUUCUGCAGGGUCCAGAGACACAGAGAGGGAGGCCAGCCCAGCACCAUUGUGGGAGAAAGGCCAGUGAUGUCAUCAGGGGGCUAAGGCUGGCAGCCACCUUCUAGUGGACAUUACUGCUGAGAACUGGCCAGGUGCCUGCACUCGCUGCCAUGAGUAAUUGCCCAGUGGCCCGUGAGGUGCUGGCAGCUCCUCCAUUUACAAGUUAGGAGACAGGUACAGAGAGACCAGGUGGCCUGUUCCAGCAGCACUGCUCUGGCUCUUGACCACCACCACAUCAGCAGCAAAACCGCCAGGGCUGAAAUCAAUACAGAUUUAUCCAUUCUCACCAGGCUGCGGGCGCCUUGCAGGUCUGUGCUCCUAGCUGGGGGCCCAGAGAGACUCUGCUUCCAGGACUGCCCGAGUGUGGAAGGAACCCAGCUGCCAGCUGCAGGACUGAGGUCCCAUCUCCUCCCUGGCCUCGCACAGGCCCUCCUGCCUGCCAAGCAGCAAGUGAUGCCGCACCUCAGUCUCUCCCUCUGCUCUCCAGUUCCCUGGACCCCCAGCCCAAGCUCCGGUGAUUACCAGGUAAUUCCUGUCCCAAGACAGCCGCGCCGAGUGUCCUAACACAGUUGCCACACGGCUCCAUGUCCUGUGCACAGGCCAGGGGUUCGAGUGGGCAUCAGCAAUGCUCACUUCAGAGCCCCUCCGCCACGACGUGGCCAUGUGCACACAGCUCCGUGGCCAGCGCUGGAAACUGCGUCUCCUGCCUCCAGCUGCGUUACUUGGAGAAGCAGGAACCUCUCCAUCCUCACUUUCCAUCCGCACAUCCAGGGCCGCCCACGUGCACCCACACCGUGCGCUCACUGUGUGGCCUGUCGAGAACACAGUGUCCUCUGCCCCUGAUUUCCCAGGAGAGUCGCACGUCUGUGAUGGUGGUCUCCCAGGCACGCAUGGCCAUGGAGCACGGGAACGUGUGCGCCUGCUGGGAGCACAUGGGAAGACUGCACGCCGGGUGCUGAGGCUUCCUGUGAAAAAAAGAACCUGAAACAAGUACUAAUUUUUUACAUUGAUUACAGAUUUAAAUGAUAAUUUUUUUAUAGAUUGGGUUCAACAAAAUAUUAAAACUAAUGACACUUAUUGGCCGGGCGCGGUGGCUCACGCCUGUAAUCCCAGCACUUUGGGAGGCUGAGACGGGCGGAUCAUGAGGUCAGGAGUUUGAGACCAUCCUGGCUAACAAGAUGAAACCCUGUCUCUACUAAAAAUACAAAAAACUAGGCGGGCAUGGUGGCGGGUGCCUGUAGUCCCAGCUACUCGGGAGGCUGAGGCAGGAGAAUGGCGUGAACCCGGGAGGCGGAGCUUGCAGUGAACCGGGAUCGUGCCACUGCACUCCAGCCUGGGGACAGAGUGAGAUUCUGUCUUUAAAAAAAAAAAAAAAAAA
Long non-coding RNA from Homo sapiens (human), 3349 nucleotides. Lineage: Eukaryota; Metazoa; Chordata; Mammalia; Primates; Hominidae. The record is from Ensembl.